UGGAGCGCCUCGACCGCCAGGGUUACUGUGCCCGCGACUACUACGAGCGGCUGCCGGAGCUGCGCACGGCGGUGGAUCAGCUGAGCAGCGGUUUCUUCAGCCCGCGGCAGCCCGAUCUGUUCCGGGACAUCGUCAAUAUGCUCAUGAACCACGACCGAUUUAAGGUUUUCGCUGACUAUGAAUCAUACGUCAAAUGCCAGGAGCGCGUCAGUGAGCUCUACAAGGACUCGCGGCAGUGGACGCGGACGGUGAUUCGGAACAUCGCGGCGGCGGGGAAAUUCUCGAGCGACCGAA
Molecule: unclassified non-coding RNA, 294 nt
Filed under: Hevea brasiliensis (rubber tree)
Lineage: Eukaryota; Viridiplantae; Streptophyta; Magnoliopsida; Malpighiales; Euphorbiaceae
Source: RNAcentral